UGAUGCCUACGGGGCGCAGCAGUGAGGAAUAUUGGUCAAUGGCCGCAGGGCUGAACCAGCCAAGUCGCGUGAGGGAUGACGGUCCUAUGGAUUGUAAACUUCUUUUGUCGGGGAACAAAGGGCGCCACGUGUGGCGUUGUGAGUGUACCCGAAGAAAAAGCAUCGGCUAACUCCGUGCCAGCAGCCGCGGUAAUACGGAGGAUGCGAGCGUUAUCCGGAUUUAUUGGGUUUAAAGGGUGCGUAGGCGGUCCGGAAAGUCAGCGGUAAAAGCCCGGGGCUCAACCCCGGCGAGCCGUUGAAACUGU
RNAcentral lists this ribosomal RNA (305 nucleotides) under uncultured bacterium. RNAcentral describes it as "bacterial SSU rRNA". It matches the Rfam family "Bacterial small subunit ribosomal RNA", at positions 333 to 636 of the family's 1533-position model. The record is from RNAcentral.